RNAcentral lists this ribosomal RNA (893 nucleotides) under uncultured archaeon. RNAcentral's name for it is "bacterial SSU rRNA". It matches the Rfam family "Archaeal small subunit ribosomal RNA", at positions 21 to 904 of the family's 1478-position model. The record is from RNAcentral.
CCCGACUGCUAUUUGGGUGAGAAUAAGCCAUGCGAGUUGAAUGGGAUACCUAAAGUUCCCAUAGCAAACUGCUCAGUAACACAUGAUCAACUUACCCUAUAGAGAAAAUAACCUCGGGAAACUGAGGAUAAUGUUUCAUAAUUGAAUUGGCUUGGAAAAGUUUUUCAAUGAAAGGGAUAAAAAAAAUGGUUUUUAUCUGCUAUAGGAUAGGAUCGUGUUCGAUUAUGGUUGUUGGUGAGAUAAUGGCUCACCAAGCCGAUAAUCGAUAGGGGCCGUGAGAGCGGGAGUCCCGAGAUGGGUACUGAGACAACGACCCAGGCCUUACGAGGCGCAGCAGGCGCGGAACCUCCGCAAUACACGAAAGUGUGACGGGGUUACCCAAAGUGUUCAAUAGAACUGUGGUAGGUGAGUAAUGUCCCCUACUAGAAAGGAGAGGGCAAGGCUGGUGCCAGUCGCCGCGGUAAAACCAGCUCUUCAAGUGGUCGGGAUAAUAUUGGGCUUAAAGUGUCCGUAGCCGGUUUAGUAAGUUCCUGGUAAAAUCGGGUAGCUUAACUAUCUGCAUGCUAGGAAUACUGCUAUACUAGAGGGCGGGAGAGGUCUGAGGUACUACAGGGGUAGGGGUGAAAUCUUAUAAUCCUUGUAGGACCACCAGUGGCGAAGGCGUCAGACUGGAACGCGCCUGACGGUGAGGGACGAAAGCCAGGGGAGCGAACCGGAUUAGAUACCCGGGUAGUCCUGGCCGUAAACGAUGCAUACUAGGUGAUGGUACGGCCAUGAGCCGUAUCAGUGCCGUAGGGAAACCGUUAAGUGUGCCGCCUGGGAAGUACGGUCGCAAGGCUAAAACUUAAAGGAAUUGGCGGGGGAGCACCACAAGGGGUGAAGCCUGCGGUUCA